This 1392-nucleotide ribosomal RNA is filed under the name Microbacterium sp. TMB3-9. RNAcentral's name for it is "bacterial SSU rRNA". It matches the Rfam family "Bacterial small subunit ribosomal RNA". The record is from RNAcentral. Lineage: Bacteria; Bacillati; Actinomycetota; Actinomycetes; Micrococcales; Microbacteriaceae.
UGCAAGUCGAACGGUGAAGGAGAGCUUGCUCUUUGGAUCAGUGGCGAACGGGUGAGUAACACGUGAGCAAUCUGCCCCUGACUCUGGGAUAACAGUUGGAAACAGCUGCUAAUACCGGAUAUGAGACGUGACCGCAUGGUCGACGUUUGGAAAGAAUUUCGGUCAGGGAUGAGCUCGCGGCCUAUCAGCUUGUUGGUGAGGUAAUGGCUCACCAAGGCGUCGACGGGUAGCCGGCCUGAGAGGGUGACCGGCCACACUGGGACUGAGACACGGCCCAGACUCCUACGGGAGGCAGCAGUGGGGAAUAUUGCACAAUGGGCGAAAGCCUGAUGCAGCAACGCCGCGUGAGGGACGACGGCCUUCGGGUUGUAAACCUCUUUUAGCAGGGAAGAAGCGAAAGUGACGGUACCUGCAGAAAAAGCGCCGGCUAACUACGUGCCAGCAGCCGCGGUAAUACGUAGGGCGCAAGCGUUAUCCGGAAUUAUUGGGCGUAAAGAGCUCGUAGGCGGUUUGUCGCGUCUGCUGUGAAAACUGGAGGCUCAACCUCCAGCCUGCAGUGGGUACGGGCAGACUAGAGUGCGGUAGGGGAGAUUGGAAUUCCUGGUGUAGCGGUGGAAUGCGCAGAUAUCAGGAGGAACACCGAUGGCGAAGGCAGAUCUCUGGGCCGUAACUGACGCUGAGGAGCGAAAGGGUGGGGAGCAAACAGGCUUAGAUACCCUGGUAGUCCACCCCGUAAACGUUGGGAACUAGUUGUGGGGUCCAUUCCACGGAUUCCGUGACGCAGCUAACGCAUUAAGUUCCCCGCCUGGGGAGUACGGCCGCAAGGCUAAAACUCAAAGGAAUUGACGGGGACCCGCACAAGCGGCGGAGCAUGCGGAUUAAUUCGAUGCAACGCGAAGAACCUUACCAAGGCUUGACAUAUACGAGAACGGGCUAGAAAUAGUCAACUCUUUGGACACUCGUAAACAGGUGGUGCAUGGUUGUCGUCAGCUCGUGUCGUGAGAUGUUGGGUUAAGUCCCGCAACGAGCGCAACCCUCGUUCUAUGUUGCCAGCACGUAAUGGUGGGAACUCAUGGGAUACUGCCGGGGUCAACUCGGAGGAAGGUGGGGAUGACGUCAAAUCAUCAUGCCCCUUAUGUCUUGGGCUUCACGCAUGCUACAAUGGCCGGUACAAAGGGCUGCAAUACCGUAAGGUGGAGCGAAUCCCAAAAAGCCGGUCCCAGUUCGGAUUGAGGUCUGCAACUCGACCUCAUGAAGUCGGAGUCGCUAGUAAUCGCAGAUCAGCAACGCUGCGGUGAAUACGUUCCCGGGUCUUGUACACACCGCCCGUCAAGUCAUGAAAGUCGGUAACACCUGAAGCCGGUGGCCCAACCCUUGUGGAGGGAGCCGUCG